GUUCUAUAUUGGGACAUGUUCGAGAUUGUCGAGAGAUUCUGUUACGUAUAGUGAAAUAGUAUGAUAAGAAAAUAUUAUAUUUGUUUCGAUACGUAAUGUCACGUUUCGUGUAUAUCGUAAUGAGUAUAUAUUUUUAUCGAAAACACAAAAGUAUAUUUCUAUAUGUUUUUCGUCCCAACUUUAGUUUUUGUAUUCUCGUCAGAUCGGACUCAGUACCAAAUGAGC
This 225-nucleotide long non-coding RNA is filed under the name Ananas comosus (pineapple). RNAcentral's name for it is "long non-coding RNA (ACOM_LNC042808)". The record is from RNAcentral. Lineage: Eukaryota; Viridiplantae; Streptophyta; Magnoliopsida; Poales; Bromeliaceae.